This is a small nuclear RNA of Fukomys damarensis (Damara mole-rat), 107 nucleotides long. The record is from Ensembl. NCBI's taxonomy places the organism in Eukaryota, Metazoa, Chordata, Mammalia, Rodentia, Bathyergidae.
GUGCUCACUUCAGCAGCACAUAUACUAAAAUUGGAUUGCUACAGAGAAGAUUAGCAUGGCCCUCGUGCAGGGAGGACACACAGAUUUGUGAAGGGUUCCGUAUGUUU